GGGCUACACUGCAGUCGACGGUAACAGGAAGCAGCUUGCUGCUUCGCUGACGAGUGGCGGACGGGUGAGUAAUGUCUGGGAAACUGCCUGAUGGAGGGGGAUAACUACUGGAAACGGUAGCUAAUACCGCAUAACGUCGCAAGACCAAAGAGGGGGACCUUCGGGCCUCUUGCCAUCGGAUGUGCCCAGAUGGGAUUAGCUAGUAGGUGGGGUAACGGCUCACCUAGGCGACGAUCCCUAGCUGGUCUGAGAGGAUGACCAGCCACACUGGAACUGAGACACGGUCCAGACUCCUACGGGAGGCAGCAGUGGGGAAUAUUGCACAAUGGGCGCAAGCCUGAUGCAGCCAUGCCGCGUGUAUGAAGAAGGCCUUCGGGUUGUAAAGUACUUUCCGCGGGGAGGAAUGCGAUAAGGUUAA
RNAcentral lists this ribosomal RNA (418 nucleotides) under uncultured bacterium. RNAcentral describes it as "bacterial SSU rRNA". It matches the Rfam family "Bacterial small subunit ribosomal RNA", at positions 44 to 463 of the family's 1533-position model. The record is from RNAcentral.